RNAcentral lists this ribosomal RNA (497 nucleotides) under uncultured bacterium. RNAcentral describes it as "partial 16S ribosomal RNA". It matches the Rfam family "Bacterial small subunit ribosomal RNA", at positions 28 to 507 of the family's 1533-position model. The record is from RNAcentral.
GAUGAACGCUGGCGGCGUGCCUAAUACAUGCAAGUCGAGCGAACGGACGAGAAGCUUGCUUCUCUGAUGCUAGCGGCGGACGGGUGAGUAACACGUGGAUAACCUACCUAUAAGACUGGGAUAACUUCGGGAAACCGGAGCUAAUACCGGAUAAUAUUUUGAACCGCAGGGUUCAAAAGUGAAAGACGGUCUUGCUGUCACUUAUAGAUGGAUCCGCGCUGCAUUAGCUAGUUGGUAAGGUAACGGCUUACCAAGGCAACGAUGCAUAGCCGACCUGAGAGGGUGUUCGGCCACACUGGAACUGAGACACGGUCCAGACUCCUACGGGAGGCAGCAGUAGGGAAUCUUCCGCAAUGGGCGAAAGCCUGACGGAGCAACGCCGCGUGAGUGAUGAAGGUCUUCGGAUCGUAAAACUCUGUUAUUAGGGAAGAACAUAUGUGUAAGUAACUGUGCACAUCUUGACGGUACCUAAUCAGAAAGCCACGGCUAACUACGUG